AUGGCUAGUGCGGAGGAUGUGAAGCAGCGGCAGGUUGUUGAAGACCGUGCAAGAAAUAUUAGCCACAAUGUACGGUGCACUGAGUGUGGCAGCCAGUCCAUUGAAGAUUCGCAAGCAGAUGUUGCAGUUCUCCUUAGAAGGUUAAUUCGUGAUGAAAUAAAAUCUGGAAAGAGUGAUAAGGAGAUAUACAAAAAACUAGAAGAAGACUUUGGAGAAACAGUUCUAUAUGCCCCUAAAUUUGAUCUUCAAACUGCUGCCAUAUGGUUAUCACCGGUGAUUGUGAUUUCUCGGGUAGGCAGUCGAGAGCCUGAUACAUUAAAUCCUGUGCAGGUGAUUGUGGGCGGCGUAGCAGCUGGUGUGUGGGCUUACCAAAAGCACAGGCAAAGGACCAACGUUCACAUCAUGGCUCUGAACCUCGUCCGAGGGGUUCCCCUGACUCCAAGGGAGAAGGAGACGAUGAUCGACAUCCUCACGCCGCCCCUGCCGGCAAGGAGGUGGUGGUGGCCUAUCAAAUGA
This 516-nucleotide ribosomal RNA is filed under the name Triticum aestivum (bread wheat). RNAcentral describes it as "partial small subunit ribosomal RNA". The record is from RNAcentral. Lineage: Eukaryota; Viridiplantae; Streptophyta; Magnoliopsida; Poales; Poaceae.